This 460-nucleotide ribosomal RNA is filed under the name uncultured bacterium. Its description in RNAcentral is "partial 16S ribosomal RNA". It matches the Rfam family "Bacterial small subunit ribosomal RNA", at positions 338 to 795 of the family's 1533-position model. The record is from RNAcentral.
CCUACGGGUGGCUGCAGUGAGGAAUAUUGGUCAAUGGACGCAAGUCUGAACCAGCCAUGCCGCGUGCAUGCAGACGGCUCUAUUAGUUGUAAACUGCUUUUGUACGAGGGUAAACGCAGAUACGCGUAUCUGUCUGCAAGUAUCGUACGAAUAAGGAUCGGCUAACUCCGUGCCAGCAGCAGCGGUAAUACGGAGGAUUCAAGCGUUAUCCGGAUUCAUUGGGUGUAGAGGGUGCGUAGGCGGUCGGAUAAGUUAGAGGUGAAAUCCCGAGGCUCAACUUCGGAAUUGCCUCGGAUACUGUUCGGCUAGAGAGUAGUUGCGGUAGGUGGAAUGCAUGGUGUAGCGGUGAAAUGCUUAGAGAUCAUACAGAACACCGAUUGCGAAGGCAGCUUACCAAGCUACUUCUGACGUUGAGGCACGAAAGCGUGGGGAGCAAACAGGAUUAGAUACCCCGGUAGUC